AAUGCCCGCUGAUGCGAUUUCGGUCAAUCAUGUGGCAUUCGAGUGGCGGACGGGUGAGUAACGCGUGGGUAACCUGCCUUACACAGGGGGAUAACACCUGGAAACAGGUGCUAAUACCGCAUAAGCGCACAGGGCCGCAUGGCCCGGUGUGAAAAACUCCGGUGGUGUAAGAUGGACCCGCGUCUGAUUAGCUUGUUGGCGGGGUAGGGGCCCACCAAGGCGACGAUCAGUAGCCGGCCUGAGAGGGUGGACGGCCACAUUGGGACUGAGACACGGCCCAAACUCCUACGGGAGGCAGCAGUGGGGGAUAUUGGACAAUGGGGGAAACCCUGAUCCAGCGACGCCGCGUGAGUGAAGAAGUAUUUCGGUAUGUAAAGCUCUGUCAGCAGGGAAGAAAGAAAUGACGGUACCUGACCAAGAAGCCCCGGCUAACUACGUGCCAGCAGCCGCGGUAAUACGUAGGGGGCAAGCGUUAUCCGGAAUUACUGGGUGUAAAGGGAGCGUAGACGGUGAUGCAAGUCUGGAGUGAAAGGCGGGGGCCCAACCCCCGGACUGCUCUGGAAACUGUGUAACUUGAGUGCAGGAGAGGUAAGCGGAAUUCCUAGUGUAGCGGUGAAAUGCGUAGAUAUUAGGAGGAACACCAGUGGCGAAGGCGGCUUACUGGACUGUAACUGACGUUGAGGCUCGAAAGCGUGGGGAGCAAACAGGAUUAGAUACCCUGGUAG
This 725-nucleotide ribosomal RNA is filed under the name uncultured bacterium. RNAcentral describes it as "bacterial SSU rRNA". It matches the Rfam family "Bacterial small subunit ribosomal RNA", at positions 54 to 793 of the family's 1533-position model. The record is from RNAcentral.